Monodelphis domestica (gray short-tailed opossum) is the source of this 8714-nucleotide long non-coding RNA. RefSeq lists it as uncharacterized. NCBI's taxonomy places the organism in Eukaryota, Metazoa, Chordata, Mammalia, Didelphimorphia, Didelphidae. The record is from RefSeq and is a predicted model, not a curated record.
CUCCCCAACUUUAAUGGCUCCUCGGAAUUGUCCAAUCUAGUGUGGUUGCCUUUUUUCCUAGAGCGACCAGAGUUCAAUCCUCAGGCUCUUCGUUGGCAUGUGGCGAACAGGUCUUCUAUUGCAUGGAACCCCUUUCCCUUGAUUGAAGAGCGGUUUUUCUGACUAUUUAAUAGUUCUGUGUUUUUCUAAGUCAACAAUACAAAAAAUCAAUAGAUCUUCCAUACUCUUUGACCUAGAAAUACUAUUAGGCAUGUAUGUAAUCCAAGAAAGUCAAGGACAGAGAAAAAGGUCCUAGAUAUGCAAAAAUAGAUCGGUAGCAGCACUUUUUGUUAUAGCAAAAAAAAAAAAGUAAUCAGAAUAAGUGCCCUUCAGUUGGGGAACCGCUAAACAAAAUUGUGGUAUUUAAAUGCAAUGGAAUUGUAUUGUGCCAUAUAAAAUGAUGAAUAUGAUGGAUUCAGAGAAAUAUGGAAAGACUCGUGUGACCUGAUAGAGUGAAAUGAACAGGACCAGUAGAACAAUUUACUCAAUGAUAAUAUGAGAAGCAAUAAUUCUGAAAAACCUUCUUGGAAAAGGGGUCAAAAAAUUCAAGUUUGCCUGCAAACAUCUCCUUUCCCUCCCCAUUCCUGUGCAGGAAAAUCCUUGCCUCCAGCAUUUGGUUUCAACCCAACAUCUUGGAGCAGGAUUGCCUUCUAAUAGAACAAAGUUUGAUGAUGGAAUGCUAUAAUUGAAAAAGGUCAUUUAAUUCAAAUAAUUCCUGAGCAAAAAUCCUCUGUAUAAUACCUCUGAUGAUGUUUAUCCAGCCUCUGCUCGAAGACUUCUAAUAAAAGAGAACUCUGGGAUAGGUCCCAAUAGCUAAGAAGUUUUUCCUUUGAAAAUACAAAUUACUUGGAAAGGAAUUUUCUACACAAUAGGAAAUGUUGGGGAAAAUGCAAUGGAAAGCAAUCUAACAGAAACCUGGCAUGGACCAACAGCUUACACUAGAUUCCAAAAUAAAUUUGAAAUAAGUACAAAAUUUGAUCAUACUAUAAAAGAAUUUAAAGAGAACUUGAUUGUGUGCUUUUCACAAAUAGAUAGGAAAUGGAAUCCUUAACCAAACAAUGAGAAGCAGAAGCAAUUGCAAAAGAUAAAAUAGAUCAUUUUGUUUACAUAAACUUGGAAUGCCUUUGCCCUGGUUAUAUACCUAGUGUCUGAGGUGUAAUUCAAAUUCAUUGCUCUAUCACUAAGCCAUCUUGCUAUAAGCAGAGAACAUGAAUCUAGAAUAGAGAAAGCCAGUGACUUGGGGAAGAGGGGAAUGGUCAGGAAUUGUAUCAAAUUUCUUAGUUAAAAUUUUGACAUCAAGAUAUACACUAUAGACAACUUACAACAUAAUACCAAAAUCCAUUUUCCAAUAGAUAAUGAUGAAAGGAUAUGAACAGUUCUCAAAAGAGUUGCAAACUAUUAACAGCUAUAUAAAAGAAUGUUCCAAAUUAGUAAUAAAAAAGAUAUUAAAACCAUACUGAGGUUUCACCACAUACCCAGCAAAUUGGUAAAGAUAACAAAAAAUUGAAAUAAUCCUAGAGGGGUUGUGUGGAAAGACAGGCAUACUAAUGCAUUGUUGCUAGGGAUCCAAAUUAGGACAGCCAUUCUGAAAAAAGCCGUUUGGGAUUAAAAUGGACAAAAUAUUUAUAACCUUUGAUCCAGAGAUUCUUCUGCUAAGUAUUUACCUUGGGUAAGUCAUUGCUAAAAAGAAAGGCUUAAGGAACAACUAGAUGACUCAGUGGAUUGAGAGCCAGUCUUAGAGACCAGAGGUACUAGAUUCAAGCCUGGCUUCUGUUACUUCCUAACUAUGUAACCCUGGGCUUGUCAUUUAACCUCCAUUGUCUAAACCUUACCACUCUGGAAGAUUAAGAAUAAAAAAAUAAUAAUAAUAAUAAAGAAGGAAAGGCCUCAUAUAUGCCAAAAAUAUAAUAUAUAUGUUGUUGUAGCAAAAAAAUAAAAUCUAAGUAACUUGGAAUGAAUGAAUGACUAAACAAAUUGUGGUACAUAAAGGUGAUAGAAUAUUACUGUGCUAAAGAAAAGACAAAUUUGAUGAAUACAGAGAAGUCUAAAAAGAAUUACAUGAACUUGUAACAUUUCUGGAGCUGCUCAGUUCCCAUCCAUUCAAUUAUGGGCCUAGUCCAUAAUCUGUUCUCCUAAAAAAAUUUGUUCAGUUAUACAAAUUGGGGGAAAAAUCUUAUUGCACUGACUGAACCUAGGCUAUAUAGCUGGGAAAUUAGGCCACCUGUACCUGCUGUUUAGAGUCCCCCAAGUGCCAGAAAUGCAGGUCAGAUCUUUAAAUUGAUGUAAGGUGUUUUCUUAUAAUUGUUUAACUCAAACAACCUAUAUGUCUUAUCUGAAAACUGGCUCCAUACCAAUCAAUCAGUUAUUGUUUCUGUGUUUCAUUGAUUGUAUAUAGGCCCUUCAGAAGAGAGGGACACCUCUUUCCCUGAAUUCAGAGAAUUACAUCUAUUCACUCUCUCCCUCUGGAAAGUCCCUAAUCUUUCAUCCAAUUGGAAAUUACCUAAUGUAUUAUUUCCUUUUAAUUAAUUGGUCUUAUUUGAUUAAUUGGUUUUCAUGUAUAAAAGUCUGUCACCCCUUAUUCAGGAUCCAGCCCUAAACUCAGGAAGGAGCUUGGUUCUGAUUUUAGGCAAUUGCCAUACAUUGCUUAAUAAAUCGACAUGCCCAGAAGAUCAAACCUUUGUUUCCUCAGUCAUUUCAUCUUUUGCUCAUUACACCCAUAACAACCCUGAGGUAAGUGCUGUUAUCCCCAUUUUGCAGAUAAGGAACUUAAGAAAGACAGAGGUUAAGUGAUUUGUACAGGGUCCCUCAGCUAACAAUUAUUUUAGAUCAGACUUAAAUUUAGGCCUUCCUGACUCUAGGUCAAAUGGCCCAUCUAACUAAAGCUACUUUUAAUGAUGCAAUUUUGGCCUAAAAGGAAAUCACUUCCCCACACUUCUUUGUGGAGGAUCCACAGGCAUGUAACAUUGCAGUCAAUAAACAUUUAUUAAGUGCCUACCUAUGACCAUCCCAGUUGUAAAGGAGCUCACACUCCAACAUGCAAAUAACUAUGUACAAAUUAGAUCUAUCCAAAAUAAAAUGGAGAAAAUUAACAGAGGGAAGGCAUUAGCAUUAAGCAAGAUUAUUAAAGGCUUUUUGUAGAAGGUGGAAUUUUUUGGGGGACUUGAAGAAAGUCAGGGAAGCCAGAAGAUGGAGGUGAAAAGGGAAAGAAUAACAGGCCUAGGAGAUGGCCAGUGAAAAUGCCUGGAGUCCAGGGAGAUGGAAUGUCUUUUUCAUUUUUAUUUUUUAUUAAUUUUUUUGGGAAAUGUUUAUUGAUGAUUUAGAUAUAGAUGAUUUAGAAUAUUUUUCCAUGGUUACAAGACUCAUGUUCUUUCCCUCCACCCCACCCCCUCCUGAUUCUAACAAUUCCACUGGGCUUUACAUAUGUCAUUGAUCAAGACCUAUUUCCAUAUUAUUAAUAUUUGCACUAGGGUGAUUGUCUAGAGUCUACAUCCCCAACCAUAUCCCCAUCUACCCAUGUGAUCAAGCAGUUGUUUUUCUUCUGUGUUUCUACUCCCACAGUUCUUCCUCUGAAUGAGGAUAGUGUUCUUUCUCAUCAGUCCCUCAGAAUUGUCCUGGAUCAUUGCAUUGCUGCUAGUAGAGAAGUCCAUUACAUUCCAUUGUACCACAGUGUAUCACUCUGUGAACAAGUUCUCCUGGUUCUACUCCUGUCCCUCUGCAUCAAUUCCUGAAGGUUGUUCCAGCUCACAUGGAAUUCCUCCAGUUCAUUAUGGAAUGUCUUUUUCAAACAACAAGGAGGAGAAGGGGUCAUAAAAGAGCCACUGCAGUGCCAAGGAGAGUACAAAGAGCAAUCUGUACAGUACCUGUGAGCACAAGGUCAAAGAGACCAAAUCAAUGCUGGUGGGAUUGAUAUGAAUCUGCACCAAGACAGAGGACUUUUUUGGGGGGUUUGAAGAAGUGGCUGUUUAACAACAGAACAUGCAGGACUUCCCGGUGCCAGAUCCAAACAAAGUAUCUCAAUCUAGCAACAAUGUUGGCUCCCCUAACCCUAAGAAUGAAGGUAAAAUCAGAACAGGAAAACAUACUUCCCUUUUACAUAAAAAUCUAGUCCUUUUUUCUUUCUUAUAGUAUGACAACUUCCUAUAGUCUUGGCUGCUGAUUGGGUAAGAGCAUAUUGCUGCAAUGGUCCUACAGGCUUGUGAGACAUGGAUCACUUUAUUGGGCCCUGAUUCUAGGACCCGUUAUAGGCUUACUCUUGCCUAUUCAAAAUUUUUAUAUACUAUUUAAUUUUGACUUUUUUUCUUUUCUUCUAUUUUUUUUUCAUUUUUUUACUUCCUUUUAACAAUUGAUUCAUAUUCAUAACUUAGUCAUAUAUCCCUAGGUGAUCCAAGUGUUUGUCAACACCCUCCUCAGGAGGGAUUGUAUAAUUGUCAAAUAAUUCUACAUUUAUAAAAAAAUUUCUUGUUUAAGAGUAAUUUUAAAAUAAGAAACUUGCUAUCACCCCAAAUCCAGCAAGAGAACUGUUUGGAGAAGGCAACAUAAAGAUGCUUGCAGAAGCUAUAGACUACACCAAAAGAUCCAGAAUGAACUUUGGGAUGUAGUGAAAUUGAACUGGGGGGAGCGGGGUUGAAUGCAUUCAUUUUUAAUGUACACUCUUAUGACAAAGCCCCCCUGAUUGGCUUUUUGUCAGUGUGUCAUUGCUUUUGUUCUCUUUCUCUUUUAUUUCUCUUAUGUUCCCAAAUUAUUGUAAUUUCUCCUUAGAAAGUGCAAUAUUGCAUGUACCUCUAGUUGAAGUUUUUAGGGGCAUAAAAUAGUUAUGUUUAAAUAAUCCAUUGGGGAGACUACUCUCCCAAAGAAUCACCAAGGGAUUGUGUAAUUAGAAUAUGUUACCCUAAAAACUACAAUUCCCAGCUUCCCACUCUCUUCCUGUCAUUACCUGGUGACAUAAAUAGGAUAUAAAUUCUGUGGAGUUCUAUCUCACUCUCUUCUCUUCCUAUCUCAGUUUUGGUAGAGUGGGCUUUUUGAGCAGGUAGAAAAACUUAGUCAUGUGGUUCUAUUUGUUAGAUAAUAAACUUUAUAAAAUAUAAUAAUUGAAGUAUUGGACAUUUAUUUAUUUAUUUUAAUUUUUUUUAAACCUUUACCUUCUAUCUUGGAAUCAAUACUGUGUAUUGGUUCUAAGACAGAAGAGUGGUAAGGGUUAGGCAAUGGGGGUCAAGUGACUUACCUAGGGUCACACAGCUAGGAAGUGUCUGAGGCCAGAUUUUAACCCAGGUCCUCCUAUCUCUGGGCCUGGCUCUCAAUCCACUGAGCCACCUAGCUGUCCCAUGGAUAUUAAUUUAAAUCCUACAUUUGUUAGAAAAAUGCAAAUCAAAACAAUUCUGAGAUAACAUCUCAUCCCUAUCGGAUUGGCUAAAAUGAUAAAACAAGCAAAAUUACAAAUGUUGGAAGGUAUUUAGGAAAAUGGGGACCCUAAUAUAUUGUUGGGAGAAGUGUGAACUUAUCCCACCAUUUUGAAGAGCAAUUUCAAAUUAUGCUAAAAUAUUUCUAAAACUAUAUACCCUCAGACACAGCAAUAUCACUGUUGGGGAAGAGAUCAGGGAAAAAGGAAAAGGACCUAUAUUGAUGAUUACGAACCUAUGACACAUGUGCCAAAUUUGGCAUGCAGAGUGCUAUCUGUGCACCACCACCACCACCCCAGUUCAUUACUAGAAAGGCAGAGGGACUCUGGCCUCCCCCUCUCCACCAUGUCUGACAACAUUUUUGACAUCACCUGUCCCUUUGCCCAGCAGCCCAACAGGAGUGCACAGAGGGUUAGGUGGGCGGCUCAGAGGCAGCAGAGCUGGAGGGGAGCAGAGAGCUCAGGCCACUCCUCUCCCCCUCUCUACACUCACUGAGGACAUUCCUCAAUUCACCCGCCCCUCUGUCCAGCAGCCCAAUGGGAGUGCUUUCUUCCCCUCCCCUGUGUAGGAGGGGGGCACACGGCACGUCAUACAGUCUGGUGGGGCAGGGCAUGACAUGUGGACUUUUAAAGGUUGACCAUUAUUGAUCUAUAUGUUCCGAAAUAUUUCUAUUAACUCUCUUUGUGGUGGCAAAGAACUGGAAAUUGAAAAGAAGUCCAUCAAUUAAGAAAUGGCUGAACAAGUUGUGGUAUAUGAUUGUGAUGGAAUACUACUAUGUCAUAAGAAAUGAUUAGCAGGUUAAUUAAAAAAAAACAACUUGGAAAGAACUACAUGAAAUAAUGAAGAGCAAAAUAAGUAGAAAUAAGAGAACAUUAUAUAUAGCUAUAGAAAUAAUAUUUGAAGAACUUGUGAAUAUCUACCUCCAGAGAAAGAACUGAUCAAUGCUAAUAAACAGGAACAUGAAAGACAUAAUUACAUAUACUUUUUUUUGGUGAGGUGAUGUCUUCAUUGGUGUGGGGAGGGGAGAGAAAGAGUGAAAUACUUGGAAAUUUGGACAUAACCAAAAACGAAAUUAAUUUUUUAAAUAUCAUUUCACUUUUUUAAGUUAUUGGACCCCAGUUUAAGAAUACUUAGACUAUGAUCUCUGAGGUCUCUCCUAAAUUAACUUCUAUUUUUUUUUAAUGCUGGAAUAUUGCUCCCCUGAACCUUCAAUUAACACCAAAUUUAUUUUUUUUCAAUUAACAAAAAAUCUAUUCACCUGCCCACAUCCCCCCCCACUGCCAUUGAAAAAAGAAAAUAAAAUCUACUUAACAAAUAUGCAUAAGUCAAGCAAAACAAAUUCCCUCACAGACCAUGUCCAAUUAUACAUAUGCCACCUGAGUUUAUCCCUUCUCUCAAUCAGAAGAGGGUGGCAUGUUUCAUCAUGAGUCUUCUAGAAUCACAGUUGGUCAUUUUGUUGAUUAGAGUUCCUAAGUCUUUCAAAGUUGUUUGGCUUACAGUAUUGUUAUUAUAUAACUUGUUCUCCUGGUUCUUUUCACUUCACUCUGUAUCAUUUCAGACAAGCCUUUCCAGAUUUCUCUGAAACUGUCCCUUAAUCAUUUCUUAUUAGCCCUUUACAUUCAUAAUUUGCUCAGCCAGGGGAAUGGCUGAAUCAGUGGGCACCCUACUUGUUUCCAGUUCUUUGCCAACACAGAAAUUGCUAGUAUAAGAUUUUUUAUGUAUGAAUCUUUUUUCUUUCUUUGAUCUUUUUGUGGUAUAGAACUAAUAGCACACACAUACUUUCAAUAUAAAUGUAAUGAGUGUUGUCCUGCAGGAGAAAGAGCUAUUUCAAAAAAGAUUUCAAUGUUCCUGGCUCCACAUGUUCAUUUGCAGCUUCUUAUGUGUAAAAAUUAAUCUCUAAUAAAAAUAUUAUAUUUUAAGAGAUUUAUUAAUGAUCAUUAGAAAUCAAGGAAUAAAGAAGAUACAAAAUAAAGAUCACGUGCCCAUGGCGCAUCAGCCAGUUCAAACACCUGCCUUAACACCACCAAUCUCCGGAUAGGAAAUAAAGAAGUGGGACCUUCCAUGUCCCCUCCUAAUAUCCCCUACGUAUAGAAAGUACGUAAUGACAGGAAGUCAGUGGGAUGCUGGGAAAUGUAGGGUUUUUUUAGGUGACAGAUUUUCAAUUAUACAUAUGUUUAUAUUUAUGUUAUCUUUUCAGUAACUAUCCCUGCCUCUAGUCGCUCCUCUAUUCAAUCUAUCCUAUACAUCAUUAACAGAAUGGCUUUCUUAAUGCACCACUUAGGUCAUGUCAAACAUCUCUCCCCCUCAAAAACCAUCAGUUGUACUCCAUUUUAUCCCACAUAAAAUUCAGACUUUUCAAGCAUCUCUCCAUAUUCGUCUAACAUAUUCGAGAUUUGGGGGAGGGGGGAAAUUCUCUCUUCCUAGAAUGUCAUCCUUCCUUCCCUCUCCUCAUCUCUCAACCGUGCCUGGAACCUUCUGUCUCCCUAUCUUGACUACCUAGCUUCCCUCACUUCUUUUAUAUCUUACCUAAAUUCCACCUUCUGUAAGAAUCCUUUCUUGGUUUCUCUUAAUGUCAGUGCCCUCCCUCUAUUGAAUUUAUAUGAAAUUUACCCCAUAGUUGUUGCCUGUGACCUCCUUAAAAGUAAAAAUUGUCUUUUGCCUUUCUCUGUAUCCCCAAUAUUUAGUGCAGUGGUGGGCACAUAGUUGACCUUUAAUAAAUGUUUGUUGACUGGCUGAGUGACCACUACUAUACCUCUAAAUCAACGGUUCUAUCUGUGGGUUGGGAGCCCAGUGGGGGUCCAACGACCAAAACACAGGGGUCACUUAAAGCCAUUGGAAAAUACAUAUUUCUGAUGGCUUUAGCCACUGAGAACUUGUGCUAUUUUAUAGCAAGAUCUUGGAAAGCACGGGGACCCUGCUGUCCGCACAUUGUACUAAUAUUAGUUGCCUAUUAGCAGCCCUCCCCCUAUGAGGGGCUAUGGAUUUACCCUGUUGCCUGGAGACCUGACUCAAACAGAGACCCAGAGAGAGCACCAGGGUGCUGGCUCCGAAGGGGUUAAGAACGAGUCCUGGAGGGGAUAACUCCUGGAGUGGUAACCCCAGCCAAGUAACCCCAGCAAAGUGAAGCCUCAUCUCUGAGCUGGAGGUAGAGGACAGGAAGAAGGCAGGGUCUGCGGACCCCCUCCCCAGGCAGGACUUACCUCCCACCCCAGUGCUCAGGCUGCCUCCUGCUGGAUUAAUAUUUCUCAACAUAUAAUUAAAUAUUGUUUUUGUGAUUAA